AAAUAACAAAGAAAAUAAUCAGUAAAUGAAACACUAAAAUCGGUCCAGAGACGAAAUAGCGAAACUCUCAUCUCGAACACAUCGAGUCGAUGUGAAGAACAGAGAAGCGCCCAAAAUCGGUCCUCUAUAGCUAGAAAUCCCAAAUCGAAACCCAAAAUCGAUCCUCUCUAGCUAGAAAUCUGUCCAGAUAAUAGAAAUCCCAAAUCGAAAUCCCUCUAAAAGCUCACCCGAAUCGAAAUCCUUCAAAUCAGAAUGUGAAUUCGAUUUGGUGUUUAUGAUACUUGCUGGAAACUUCAUUUUGAAGCUAAAUCUUAAGAUUGGAAGCUGGUUUGGUGAGUUUUGGUUUGAAUUUGUGAAUCGAGUUGUGCGAAGAAGAAGACCACUAGGGUCUUUCGAUUCAGGCCAUUGUUUGCACAAAUUGACUCAAAGCUUCUUCAACUUCAAGUAUUUAAGAACUUGUACACAGCUGCGGAAGUCGACAAAGGGCAAGAAAAUAUAGAAGUGAAAAUUUAACAACUCAGGGACAAGACACUUAAACAGUGGUAUCGUUCAAGGAUGGUGUCGGGCAAAGAGCAGUUACAAGGCACUUAAUAUUUUGUCAUUUUUGGGAUAUAUAUAUGCAUACAAUUACAAUGUAAAAUAAAGUGUCGGGUAGUAUAUAUGUAAUUGACUUUUUAGUAAUGAUAAUAUUUAUAAUAUUCGGCUUGAGAAAUUCUUUUGGUGUUUGUCAAA
This is a long non-coding RNA of Nicotiana attenuata, 732 nucleotides long. RefSeq lists it as uncharacterized. NCBI's taxonomy places the organism in Eukaryota, Viridiplantae, Streptophyta, Magnoliopsida, Solanales, Solanaceae. The record is from RefSeq and is a predicted model, not a curated record. The transcript has 2 exons.